GAUGAACGCUGGCGGCGUGCCUAAUACAUGCAAGUCGAGCGAACAGAUAAGGAGCUUGCUCCUUUGACGUUAGCGGCGGACGGGUGAGUAACACGUGGGUAACCUACCUAUAAGACUGGGAUAACUUCGGGAAACCGGAGCUAAUACCGGAUAAUAUUUCGAACCGCAUGGUUCGAUAGUGAAAGAUGGUUUUGCUAUCACUUAUAGAUGGACCCGCGCCGUAUUAGCUAGUUGGUAAGGUAACGGCUUACCAAGGCGACGAUACGUAGCCGACCUGAGAGGGUGAUCGGCCACACUGGAACUGGGGCACGGUCCAGACUCCUACGGGAGGCAGCAGUAGGGAAUCUUCCGCAAUGGGCGGAAGCCUGACGGAGCAACGCCGCGUGAGUGAUGAAGGUCUUCGGAUCGGAAAACUCUGUUAUUAGGGAAGAACAUACGUGUAAGUAACUGUGCACGGCUUGACGGUACCUAAUCAGAAAGCCACGGCUAACUACGUG
This 497-nucleotide ribosomal RNA is filed under the name uncultured bacterium. Its description in RNAcentral is "partial 16S ribosomal RNA". It matches the Rfam family "Bacterial small subunit ribosomal RNA", at positions 28 to 507 of the family's 1533-position model. The record is from RNAcentral.